RNAcentral lists this long non-coding RNA (646 nucleotides) under Homo sapiens (human). Its description in RNAcentral is "HSALNT0191617". Lineage: Eukaryota; Metazoa; Chordata; Mammalia; Primates; Hominidae. The record is from RNAcentral.
AGGACACAAUUGGAUAAGGUUAUUUUAUCAAGACUUUAACUGGAAGGGCCAUCAAACUCCAAACAAUCAUGCAACCAGAGCCUCUAAUGAUGGCCCCUUCUGCCAGGAACCUUUAAAUUUCCUCUGAGGGAGCUCUGACUGUUGUUUCUCAACAACUGCACCCCCUGUCAGCAGGAAGCAGUUAAGAUCAUCUUCCUCCUUACCUUGAAUCUACCAGCGGUUACAUGUACUUCUUUAGAGGGGUGAAUGAGAGCCAGGUGGGAGGGGGUCCCUGGAGAAAUUCCAGUCAGUCUGCCCAUUGAGGUGGAGCCUUGGGAAGUUCAUGCCCUUUGCAGUGGGGAGGGGCCUGGCCCCACCUCUUCCUAUGUGGAACCCAGUAUUCAAAUAGCAGCAGGAAGCUCUCUAGCAGGGGACUCUGAAACAGGAGGAUGCCUGUCCCCCCUCCUCCUUUUUUUUCCCUUUUCACCCAAUAAAACCUUGCUUUACUCACCCUUUAAACCAUCUUUGAGCCUAAAUUUUCAUGUCUAUAGGAUAGACAAGAACCCUGUCUUUAGCUAAACUAAGGAAAACUCCUGCAACAAUAUUUACUCAUAACAUUACAACUGUCCUACGUACAACUGGAAAUAUAUCAGUUCCCAACCCAAAU